UUUCUCUGAAAUGCCUGCUAUUUGCUUGAGAGGCUCAGAGCAUCUUUUCAAGAGCUGAUUAUUACAUCUCAAAUUAGAGAGGUUUUCUAGAUGCUCGUCUGUGAGUUUUCCUGCGCUUCCUGGUGCGCAGCAUGAACCGUGCUGGCCAAGGCGUCCGUCUCAGAAGCUCGGGCUGAGCGGAGAUUGGGGUUAGGCCGUCAGGGUGCCCAGAUGUCUUAGGGAUUACUGUUUUGUACGGGAGGCUGGGACUUGAAAACGUUUGCACGUCUGGCACAUUGGGGCGGGGAGGAGAUGGCGCAGGCGGUUCUUGUUGAACAUGCCUCCUGCUAUCUUGACACAGUGCGUGAUACUGCUGCUCUCUUACUUUGUAUUUUUAUUUUAAAUUAAUAUUUAUUAUUUUAUUGUUUUUAGGCAAGAAAUAGAUUUAUUGCUUGUGAGAGAUGCAAGCAGGCAGGCCAACAAAAUUUAAAAAAACAUUUUAUUUUCUUUUUUGGCUGUGCUCACAGCAUGCAGACGUUCCCGGGCCAGGGAUUGAACCUGCAUCAUAGCAAUGACCCAAGCCAGUCAGUGACAACCUUUAACCUGCUGAGCUUCCAGGGAACUCCUGUUAUUAUUUAAUGGUAAAAUUCACAUAAAACUCAGAGUUUAACCUUUUUAGAGUGUACGAUCCCUUGGUUUUGGGUCUAUUCAGUGUUGGGCAGCCAACACCACAGCCUCAUUCCAGGACUCUUCCAGCCCCCCAACAAGAACCCCAUACCUGUUAGCAGUCGCCACCCCCCCAUCGUCCCCAUGGCCCCCAAGCUCUAUGUAACCCUCAGUCCACUUCCUGUGUGAGCUUGGAUAUUCCUGCCUCCAUGCUGCGUAGUUCACCUGGGAACAGGUUCCUGCAGUAGGUGCGUGGCUUCCGUGGUGGGUGGCCUGCCCUCCCUGUGGCGGUUUACUAGAGGUCCAUCCGUGUCGUAGCACGUAUAUCACUUCUUCACUCCUUUCCGGGGCGAGACGGUGACAUCUCAUGGUGCGGACACACACACCACGUGUCGUUUAGCCUUUUGUGGACUGGUGGGGCCUGUGGGUUGGUUCUGCUUUGGGGCUAGUAUGAAUAACACAGCUACGAACAUCUGUGUGCACAUCUGGGUACAAGUUUCUUAUGACCAUAGGCUUUCUCUUUUCUUCAGCAUAUACUUAGGAGUGGAAUUGCUGGGUCGCAUAUAGGAACUCUGUGUUUAACUUUCUGAGUCUGUUACUUUUUAGCCUCUUCCGUGUACCUCCUGUUUUCUCCAGGGUACUCAUUUGAAGGCCCCGGCUACUGUUGCAUUUUAUUCUGGUCUUCCUCCUGCCUCCUCCUCAGGUUCCUCACUGCUGGGGUUCCUCCCCCCUUGGGAACCGCUGUUUGGCACAGAUGGAUUUGUGGAGAGACCGUGGAGCCGUUUAACUGUGAGCAGAGGCUGGUGGCCGCCACCCCGCCUUCUCUCCUUGCUUGCAGCCAGGGGCCUCUUCCCUGGCCGGGUGCGAUGGGCGGUUCACGUCGCUUGGGAUGGAGAGAUAGAGACUCUCAGGCAGUCCCUGUUUGCUUAUGGUCCUGCUUCUCUGAAAAAAGGCGAUGAACUUGGCCAAACUGCGGUUUUCUGCCUGUGAACACGCCCCCGGGAGAAGAGGCUGCCCAGGCCGGGCCGUAUUCCCUCCUUGAGCUUCAUGGGGGCGGGGGGAGCCCAGGACAACCAGCAGCCGCUUGGAGGAGCAGGAAGGUGGAAGGAACCUGGGCCCCCGCUCCUGCAGCCGCCCUGCCCCAGCUGUCUGUGAUGUGUAACGUGGGGUACAGUUGCCCGGCUCCCAGGGAGUUUGUCCUGACUGCUUUGGCCAGGUCCGCGCUCAUAAAGCCCCGUUUCUGAGAUGUGUGGAUCCUCGGUGAAGGUGCCUACGAGGGCACGAGGAGAAAGUGAGUGCCUGAAGCUCCCUUUUCUAACAGGGAGCAGAGUCCCAUUUGCCAAGCCAGAUGUCCCUCAGUACUUUAGAUCCAGCCAGUAGAGCAGCGAGCAAUUAGAAUGGUUAAUACUCAGUUAAGUAUAAUUGGAAGCUGGUGUAAAUUUUGAGUGAAAUUGACAAGUUCCAUAAGUUAAACAGCAAAAUGCCAGAUCUUCUUCAGUUGUGUGAUUUCUGUGGGUCUCCGUUCAGGUCUGUACAUCACCUUCUUAGUGGACGAGAGAUGAGGGGCCGUUACCAGCUCGGUUCACCAUAAUCCUGAAGUUUACAAACACCUUACCGAUUGUUUUAUGUUAAAAGCUGACGUCUUUAAGUCAAAUCGUGGGAGCUUUAACACUCUCCUCUUUACCCUUUGAGCAGGAAAAACCAAAUCCCGACUUUCUGCCUGCCUUCGGGGCGUGUGCGUGCUGUGUGUGUGUGUGUGCGCCUGUGUGCACACACGUGUCUCCCCCCCCCGCCACGAGUUGCAUUAAUCACUUCUCAGUUCACAGCACAUCAUGAUGCAUUGUAUUAAAUGUUUUCGCCUUUCUGUUGCAUCCCAUCUCCAGUCUCCUCCUCUCCUCAUUCUGGUGUAUUUAAUAUGCCUUUACAUGGAUGUGUUCUUGUAAAGCAGUUGUAUGUAUGAGCAGCUCCAGCUCAUGAGUGUGGCAUCGUGCUGUAAAUCUUUCUCCCCUUCCCUUUCCCUCCUCACUGUUUUUGAGGUCUGCCCAUGUUACCCCAUGUAAAUUUCAUCCUUCACGAGCGCUGCAUCAGAUUCCAUCUUAAGAAUCCACUUGUCUUACUUAGCUCAGGCUCCUGUAACAAAAUACCAUACACGGGCUGGGGAGAAGUAGGGGGGUGUGUUUAACAGUAGACGUUGGCUGCUCACAGCUACUGAGGCCGGAAAGGCCAAGAUCGAGGUGCCUGCAGAGUCCGCUUCCUGGGGAGAGCCCUAUCCCUGGCGUGCUGUGUCUUCAGCACGACGGAGGGGCUUGGGGGGGCGGGGAGCUCUCUUCUCAGAAGGUCAUCCGUCCCGUUACGGGGACCCCACCCUCAUAACCUCAUCUAAACCCAGGUACCUCCCAAAGGCCUCACCUCCAAACACUGUCACAUUGAGGGCUGGGGCACACGAGUUUAGAGGAGACACCUUCAGUCCCCAGCACCACCUGAGCUCACAUGUCCACUUUCCUGGGGACAGGGCCUGAGCAUCCUAAGCUACAUCUCCUGACAGGUGUCCAGGAGUAGGAUUGCUGCGCCCCGGGGUGAAAAGCGUCCUUCAUCUCACUGAGCGCUGCCAGACGGCUCCCCAGAACGGCUGUUCCCCAGAACAGCUGUGCUGCUCGGCUCCCCCACAGUCUCAUCCGCGCUUCCUGGAGACGUUUUGCUGUCCCGAUGGUUCUCAAGUGGCACGU
RNAcentral lists this long non-coding RNA (3371 nucleotides) under Sus scrofa (pig). Its description in RNAcentral is "lncRNA (ENSSSCG00015012010.1)". Lineage: Eukaryota; Metazoa; Chordata; Mammalia; Artiodactyla; Suidae. The record is from RNAcentral.